GCCGCCCGGGCGCCCUGGUCCCAACAGCGCACGGGGAAGCGUGGUCGGCAGUGAGACUCGGCUAGAGCCAAGAUCAACCGCCCCGGCCGCCCCUCGGCCUCCCUAGGCUCCCAUCUAGCCCCCGACACCCGGAGAAAAACGUGCAAAGGCGCAGAGAGGGACGGAAACCACAAAUAAAUAGCGGCGGCAGCAGCGCGUCAUCUGGUGGAGCAGGAAGUGCAGGCAGAGUCCGGAGGCUGGUGCUUUCUGCGCGUCCCCAGGACUUUGCCAUGGGCUGGGGGCCGAGGAGGCUGCGAACAGCCGGGCAAGGGCAGCGGCAGUGGCGCCCGCACCGGGGCUGAGCGAGCAGAAACGCGCGGGGCGCGGGGAGAUGGCAGCGUCCAGCAACUCUAGCCUGUCUGGCUCCUCGGUAUCCUCCGGUAAG
RNAcentral lists this long non-coding RNA (424 nucleotides) under Marmota monax (woodchuck). Lineage: Eukaryota; Metazoa; Chordata; Mammalia; Rodentia; Sciuridae. The record is from RNAcentral.